RNAcentral lists this transfer RNA (75 nucleotides) under Kytococcus aerolatus. It matches the Rfam family "tRNA". Rfam says of the family: Transfer RNA (tRNA) molecules are approximately 80 nucleotides in length. Their secondary structure includes four short double-helical elements and three loops (D, anti-codon, and T loops). The record is from Rfam by way of RNAcentral. Lineage: Bacteria; Bacillati; Actinomycetota; Actinomycetes; Micrococcales; Kytococcaceae.
GCCCUCGUGGCCCAACUGGCAGAGGCAGGCCCCUUAAAAGGGCUCCAGGUGCGGGUUCGAGUCCCGUCGAGGGCA